UACCAGCACCCCGAGUGGUCGGGACGUUUAUUGGGCCUAAAGCAUCCGUAGCCGGUUCUACGAGUCUUCCGUUAAAUCCACCUGCUCAACAGAUGGGCUGCGGAAGAUACUAUAGGGCUAGGAGGCGGGAGAGGCAAGCGGUACUCAGUGGGUAGGGGUAAAAUCCUCUGAUCCAUUGAAGACCACCAGUGGCGAAGGCGGCUUGCCAGAACGCGCUCGACGGUGAGGGAUGAAAGCUGGGGGAGCAAACCGG
RNAcentral lists this ribosomal RNA (253 nucleotides) under uncultured bacterium. RNAcentral's name for it is "partial 16S ribosomal RNA". It matches the Rfam family "Archaeal small subunit ribosomal RNA", at positions 474 to 727 of the family's 1478-position model. The record is from RNAcentral.